GAUUAAGUUAUUAAGGGCGCACGGUGGAUGCCUUGGCACUAGAAGCCGAUGAAGGACGUUACUAACGACGAUAUGCUUUGGGGAGCUGUAAGUAAGCUUUGAUCCAGAGAUUUCCGAAUGGGGAAACCCAGCAUGAGUUAUGUCAUGUUAUCGAUAUGUGAAUACAUAGCAUAUCAGAAGGCACACCCGGAGAACUGAAACAUCUUAGUACCCGGAGGAAGAGAAAGAAAAUUCGAUUCCCUUAGUAGCGGCGAGCGAAACGGGAAGAGCCCAAACCAACAAGCUUGCUUGUUGGGGUUGUAGGACACUCUAUACGGAGUUACAAAGGACGACAUUAGACGAAUCAUCUGGAAAGAUGAAUCAAAGAAGGUAAUAAUCCUGUAGUCGAAAAUGUUGUCUCUCUUGAGUGGAUCCUGAGUACGACGGAGCACGUGAAAUUCCGUCGGAAUCUGGGAGGACCAUCUCCUAAGGCUAAAUACUCUCUAGUGACCGAUAGUGAACCAGUACCGUGAGGGAAAGGUGAAAAGCACCCCGGAAGGGGAGUGAAAUAGAACCUGAAACCGUGUGCUUACAAGUAGUCAGAGCCCGUUAAUGGGUGAUGGCGUGCCUUUUGUAGAAUGAACCGGCGAGUUACGAUUUGAUGCAAGGUUAAGCAGUAAAUGUGGAGCCGUAGCGAAAGCGAGUCUGAAUAGGGCGUUUAGUAUUUGGUCGUAGACCCGAAACCAGGUGAUCUACCCUUGGUCAGGUUGAAGUUCAGGUAACACUGAAUGGAGGACCGAACCGACUUACGUUGAAAAGUGAGCGGAUGAACUGAGGGUAGCGGAGAAAUUCCAAUCGAACCUGGA
This 845-nucleotide ribosomal RNA is filed under the name Staphylococcus aureus. RNAcentral's name for it is "partial 23S ribosomal RNA". It matches the Rfam family "Bacterial large subunit ribosomal RNA", at positions 1 to 843 of the family's 2925-position model. The record is from RNAcentral. Lineage: Bacteria; Bacillati; Bacillota; Bacilli; Caryophanales; Staphylococcaceae.